GAUGAACGCUAGCGGCAGGCUUAACACAUGCAAGUCGAGGGGCAGCACGGGUAGCAAUACCUGGUGGCGACCGGCGCAAGGGUGCGUAACGCGUGAGCAACAUGCCCUAUACAGGGGGAUAAUCCAGGGAAACUUGGUCUAAUAUCCCAUAGUAUUUAGAGGAGGCAUCUUCUAUAAAUUAAAGCUUCGGUGGUAUAGGAUUGGCUCGCGUGACAUUAGCUAGAUGGUGAGGUAACGGCUCACCAUGGCAAUGAUGUCUAGGGGUUCUGAGAGGAAGGCCCCCCACACUGGGACUGAGACACGGCCCAGACUCCUACGGGAGGCAGCAGUGAGGAAUAUUGGACAAUGGAUGGAAAUCUGAUCCAGCCAUGCCGCGUGCAGGGAAGACAGCCCUAUGGGUUGUAAACUGCUUUUAUAUGGGAGCAAUAAGGUCUACGUGUAGACUGAUGAGAGUACCAUAUGAAUAAGC
RNAcentral lists this ribosomal RNA (469 nucleotides) under uncultured bacterium. RNAcentral's name for it is "bacterial SSU rRNA". It matches the Rfam family "Bacterial small subunit ribosomal RNA", at positions 28 to 491 of the family's 1533-position model. The record is from RNAcentral.